Molecule: long non-coding RNA, 2658 nt
Filed under: Triticum aestivum (bread wheat)
Lineage: Eukaryota; Viridiplantae; Streptophyta; Magnoliopsida; Poales; Poaceae
Description: long non-coding RNA (TAES_LNC027970)
Source: RNAcentral
CCACCCGGUCCCUCCUCCUCCUCCUCCUCCUCCCUCCCUCGUAUGCCGCCGCCACUCCCUCCCUCCUCCCUCCUCGUCGCCCCUGCCUCUACCCUAGGAGCUCCGCCACCUCCCACGCGCUCGUCCUCUCAUCUCCCAUGUCACGCCGUCGGCCCCUGCCAAGCCAUAGUGGUGCUCUACUUGCGCCCUCGCCUCUGGUAUCACCAGGCCCUCGAUGCCGGCCUCGUCGGCUUGCCGCCGCGCUCGAAGUUGUGGCCCUGGCUGCGCGUCUCGUCGCGCUCGGGAUUCACCCAUGCGCCCUCCCGCCCUGGGGAACGUGCAAAAGGGUCAAAACCCUAGCCGCCAGCAGUUCUCGUCAAGCCUCCUCCGCCUCGUCUCCUCCCUGCUCCCUCAUCUCCCACGUCGCCGCCUUCACCUCGUCUCCUCCCCGCUCCCUCCUCUCCAACGCCGCCGCCCUCGAUGCACUGUAAGGGACGCCGUCGACAGGUCGGGGAUACGCAGCGACGGAGCUCAGCCAGAGCAGAGCACAACCCCACUCCUAACCCUAUUCGCUUGAUGACAAGAGCAGGGCAACGGAUUGGAUCGAGGGCGCCCUGGCUUGGCCACCGCUGCCACCUGGAUUCGCUAGCCGCUGCGUGGAGUUGCCCUGGCCGCCGCCUUGAGUCACCUCCGUCGCCGCCUUGAGUCAACUCCACCGUUGCCGCCAGGAAUCCCAUCCCGGCAAGGUAACUUCCUCCAAAUCCCCGCUCUCCCUGGUCCUUGAUGCGUGUGUGUUGUGUGCGUUUAGCCAUGAUCUCCUACUUUUACAGGUACCCUACGCCUACCUUCCGAUCUUCAGAUCUCCAUAUUUGGUGAAUGCGAUGUUUUGGUUUCGUCAGAUUACUAUCUAUAUUUGGGGAUUAGCUACGAAUUGAUGUUCUUAGUUGGAGCGAGGAUACUCGACAGUGCUGAUUUAGAUCUUUUUGUAGAACAGAAUAAUUAACUUGGUCUAUUUCUGGAGAACUGCAGUGUAGAUAAUAUAUGCAUGAACGAUCGUAGCACUGAAAAUGCAAAAUUUACAGUAUGGUGUAAUGAUGGUCGGGUGUGACUUUUUUGAUGGCAUUGCCCAGUGCAGUUUUCGGAUUUCUACUGAGUGGUACCGUGUUCUGAGAUAUUUUUUUUGUGUUGCUAUCCGCAGGAAAAUUCCUAGGGAUUUGAUUGAUGGAGGCAUCACUAUUUGGCGCUGGAUUAUCCAUUUUUGCAGCACCAGCAAUGUUGUUUUUGUUUGGAAUGGUCAAUUCUCAAUUUCUAAAUCAGCUAUACUAUACUUCUUGUCAGGUUACAUUAUCUUGCUUGGUUUCAGUCUAUAUGUAGCACAAAAAUAGAUGACAUGGUUGGUUUGUAGGUUACAUUAAGGAACACCACCAUAAGGAACGCCGCUCUCGCAUUGCACUUCUUUGUUUAUAUUUGAUCUGUUCCUAUUCGGUUUGCUGUAGUACUUAAUUGAUACACCAUUUCAAUUCUCUUGCCGUUUUCUUCUUGCUGCUUCAUUGUAUUCAGUUAUGAUAUAUUUUUCAACUGUACAAGCACUUGGGGAAGUCAGGAAAACUGAACCAAAGACAAACACUUUUACUGGAGAUGUUGGGGCUUUUUUUAACUGAGAUGUGACAGAUGCAUCUUAUUCCCUGAGAUAUAUUGCCUUUAAUUUCUUGAUUUUUUUCCCCGACAUGCUAAUAUAGAGCCAGAUAUGCAUGAUUCAUCAUACACAUUACAGUCAAUUAUCCAUUGGAAUCUUUUGUCCAUAGAGGUGAUCUUGUUUGGACCAUUAGUCUAGGUAGUGACAUUUUGAUUGAUAAGGCACAAGUUUAUUUUCUUUUUCACUCGGGCUACACUAAAGUAAGCAUCAUCAUCAGUGAAAAGAAGGCAUACAAAUCAUGAAGUUUUUGCCUUGGCUGUGUGCCUCGUUUAGUUGCCACUUAUUUAUUUCUAGGAAGUUAUUCAAUUCUCAUCGAGCUUUCCUUAUGCUUUCCAUUGCUAAAGAAGAAAUUUAAAUACGCAAUAUUUUUAAUAUCUGAGGAGGCGACAGGGGAUGAAAAAAGGUUGUAAGGUCGUACUUUGGUGCGUCUUUGGCCAACGAUGGCUGGAUCCAUCUGACGCUCUUCCAAGCAGAGCAGUGCAGAUUUGCUGACUGGUACAAACAUCUAAGCCUAUGCAUGAUUCAUCAUACACAUUACAGUCAAUUAUCCAUUGGAAUCAUUUGUCCAUAGAGGUGAUCUUGUUUGGACCAUUAGUCUAGGUAGUGACAUUUUGAUCGAUAAGGCACAAAUUUAUUUUCUUUUUCACUCGGGCUACACUAAAGUAAGCAUCAUCAUCAGUGAAAAGAAGGCAUACAAAUCAUGAAGUUUUUGCCUUGGCUGUGUGCCUCGUUUAGUUGCCACUUAUUUAUUUCUAGGAAGUUAUUCAAUUCUCAUCGAGCUUUCCUUAUGCUUUCCAUUGCUAAAGAAGAAAUUUAAAUACGCAAUAUUUUUAAUAUCUGAGGAGGCGACAGGGGAUGAAAAAAGGUUGUAAGGUCGUACUUUGGUGCGUCUCUGGCCAACGAUGGCUGGAUCCAUCUGACGCUGUUCCAAGCAGAGCAGUGCAGAUUUGCUGACUGGUACAACAUCUAAGCCUAUGCAUGAU